Molecule: long non-coding RNA, 315 nt
Filed under: Homo sapiens (human)
Lineage: Eukaryota; Metazoa; Chordata; Mammalia; Primates; Hominidae
Description: HSALNT0169001
Source: RNAcentral
GAGGAGGAGCCCAUCCUGAUGAGUUUGCAGCCCCUAUUCCAGGUUUCCAUGAGGCCAAUUAUCCUUCAGCAUCUUGGGUAAGAGGUCUGGGGUGAGGUUGAGCAGAUACAGAAAGUCGGAACGGAUUCGUGUAGAGCAGGUGAACGAGGCCAUGUGGGAGAGGGAGACAGCCUGGAGAGGGACUAGAAAGGACUCUGGAAAAGAAUGGGAAAUCCAGACCCAGAGGAUCUAUUGCUAGAUUUGCACAUGCUCCUCCAGACAGCUCACUGUAGAACGGCUCCCCAUUCCUUUUCAAUCUGCCCUACUAAAGAUCCC